UGGGGAAUAUUGGGCAAUGGGGGCAACCCUGACCCAGCAACGCCGCGUGAAGGAAGAAGGCCUUCGGGUUGUAAACUUCUUUGACGAGGGACGAUAAUGACGGUACCUCGAAAACAAGCCACGGCUAACUACGUGCCAGCAGCCGCGGUAAUACGUAGGUGGCAAGCGUUGUCCGGAUUUACUGGGUGUAAAGGGCGCGUAGGCGGGAUGAUAAGUCAGAUGUGAAAUCUCCAGGCUUAACCUGGAAGCUGCAUUUGAAACUGUUGUUCUGGAGUAUCGGAGAGGCAAGUGGAAUUCCUAGUGUAGCGGUGAAAUGCGUAGAUAUCACAAGGAACACCGAUUGCGGAGGCAGCUUACUAAACCGCAACUGACGCUCAUGCACGAAGGCGUGGGGAUCAAACAGG
Molecule: ribosomal RNA, 404 nt
Filed under: uncultured prokaryote
Description: bacterial SSU rRNA
Rfam family: Bacterial small subunit ribosomal RNA
Source: RNAcentral